CCCUUAGAUGUCCUGGGCCGCACGCGCGCUACACUGAUGCAUGCAACGAGUUUAUAACCUUGGCCUGAAAGGUCUGGGUAAUCUUUUGAACGUGCAUCGUGAUAGGGAUAGAUUAUUGCAAUUGUUAAUCUUGAACGAGGAAUUCCUAGUAAACACGAGUCAUCAGCUCGCAUUGAUUACGUCCCUGCCCUUUGUACACACCGCCCGUCGCACCUACCGAUUGAAUGGUUCGGUGAAGAUCUCGGACUUCGAUAUUUAUUCUUUAUUGAGUUUAUAUUGUGGGAAGUUAUCUAAACCUCAUCAUUUAGAGGAAGGUGAAGUCGUAACA
Molecule: ribosomal RNA, 328 nt
Filed under: uncultured eukaryote
Lineage: Eukaryota
Description: partial 18S ribosomal RNA
Rfam family: Eukaryotic small subunit ribosomal RNA
Source: RNAcentral